CAUAGCGGCCGUCUUAGCAUGCAAGUCGAGCGGCAAGGAGGAGCAAUCCUCCCUAGAGCGGCGGACUGGUGAGUAACACGUGGGUGAUCUACCUAUAGGUUGGGGAUAGCCAUUAGAAAUAGUGGGUAAUACCGAAUGUGGUUGCGGGGUUUUGAUCCUGCAAAGAAAGGAGCUACGGCUCCGCCUGUAGAUGAGCCCGCGUCCCAUUAGCUAGUUGGGGGUGUAACGGACCACCAAGGCGAUGAUGGGUAGCCGGCCUGAGAGGGUGAACGGCCACACUGGGACUGAGAUACGGCCCAGACUCCUACGGGAGGCAGCAGCUAAGAAUAUUCCGCAAUGGACGAAAGUCUGACGGAGCGACGCCGCGUGGAUGAGGAAGGCCGAAAGGUUGUAAAGUCCUUUUGUCGAUGAAGAAUAAGCGGUGGAGGGAAUGCCAUCGUGAUGACGUUAGUCGGCGAAUAAGCCCCGGCUAAUUACGUGCCAGCAGCCGCGGUAACACGUAAGGGGCAAGCGUUGUUCGGAAUUAUUGGGCGUAAAGGGCGCGUAGGCGGACUUGCAAGCCCGGCGUGAAAUCCUGGAGCUUAACUCCGGAACUGCGCUGGGAACUGCGGGACUAGAGUCAUGGAGGGGGAGUUGGAAUUCCAGGUGUAGGGGUGAAAUCUGUAGAUAUCUGGAAGAACACCGGUGGCGAAGGCGAACUUCUAGCCAAUGACUGACGCUGAGGCGCGAAAGUGCGGGGAGCAAACAGGAUUAGAUACCCUGCUAGUCCGCACAGUAAACGAUGCACACUAGGUGUUGGGUCGAGCGACUCGGGUGCCGA
RNAcentral lists this ribosomal RNA (820 nucleotides) under uncultured Spirochaeta sp. RNAcentral describes it as "bacterial SSU rRNA". It matches the Rfam family "Bacterial small subunit ribosomal RNA", at positions 36 to 849 of the family's 1533-position model. Lineage: Bacteria; Pseudomonadati; Spirochaetota; Spirochaetia; Spirochaetales; Spirochaetaceae. The record is from RNAcentral.